CCUACGGGUGGCUGCAGUGGGGAAUAUUGCGCAAUGGGCGCAAGCCUGAUGCAGCCAUGCCGCGUGUGUGAAGAAGGCCUUCGGGUUGUAAAGCACUUUCAGCGGGGAGGAAGGCGUUAAGGUUAAUAACCUUGUCGAUUGACGUUACCCGCAGAAGAAGCACCGGCUAACUCCGUGCCAGCAGCCGCGGUAAUACGGAGGGUGCAAGCGUUAAUCGGAAUUACUGGGCGUAAAGCGCACGCAGGCGGUCUGUCAAGUCGGAUGUGAAAUCCCCGGGCUCAACCUGGGAACUGCAUUCGAAACUGGCAGGCUAGAGUCUUGUAGAGGGGGGUAGAAUUCCAGGUGUAGCGGUGAAAUGCGUAGAGAUCUGGAGGAAUACCGGUGGCGAAGGCGGCCCCCUGGACAAAGACUGACGCUCAGGUGCGAAAGCGUGGGGAGCAAACAGGAUUAAUACCCUUGUAGUC
RNAcentral lists this ribosomal RNA (464 nucleotides) under uncultured Klebsiella sp. Its description in RNAcentral is "bacterial SSU rRNA". It matches the Rfam family "Bacterial small subunit ribosomal RNA", at positions 338 to 795 of the family's 1533-position model. The record is from RNAcentral. Lineage: Bacteria; Pseudomonadati; Pseudomonadota; Gammaproteobacteria; Enterobacterales; Enterobacteriaceae.